RNAcentral lists this ribosomal RNA (367 nucleotides) under uncultured organism. RNAcentral's name for it is "bacterial SSU rRNA". It matches the Rfam family "Bacterial small subunit ribosomal RNA", at positions 526 to 896 of the family's 1533-position model. The record is from RNAcentral.
CGUAGGUGGCAAGCGUUGUCCGGAUUUAUUGGGUUUAAAGGGUGCGUAGGUGGUCUAUUAAGUCAGUGCUGAAAUAUCCCGGCUUAACCGGGAGGUGGCAUUGAUACUGAUGGACUUGAGUAAAGUUGAGGUUGGCGGAAUUGACGGUGUAGCGGUGAAAUGCUUAGAUAUCGUCAAGAACACCUAUUGCGAAGGCAGCUAACUAAGCUUUAACUGACACUGAGGCACGAAAGUGUGGGGAUCAAACAGGAUUAGAUACCCUGGUAGUCCACACUGUAAACGUUGAUUACUCGCUGUUGGCGAUACACAGCCAGCGGCUUAGCGAAAGCGAUAAGUAAUCCACCUGGGGAGUACGCCGGCAACGGUG